UGGGUAAUAGCUUAAUAGGUAGAGCCUUUGUGUUGCAUACAAAAAGUAAGAGUUCAAGUCUCUUUUACUCCA
Non-coding RNA from Paramicrosporidium saccamoebae, 72 nucleotides. Lineage: Eukaryota; Fungi; Rozellomycota. The record is from the annotation of a GenBank genome assembly.